AGGCGACGAUGCGUAGACGACUGAGAGGGUGAUUGGCCACACUGGGAGUGAGACACGGCCCCAGAGAUCCUACGGGAGGACAGCAGGUAGGGAAUCUUCCGCCAUGGA
RNAcentral lists this ribosomal RNA (108 nucleotides) under uncultured Bacillus sp. RNAcentral describes it as "partial 16S rRNA". The record is from RNAcentral. Lineage: Bacteria; Bacillati; Bacillota; Bacilli; Caryophanales; Bacillaceae.